This 253-nucleotide ribosomal RNA is filed under the name uncultured bacterium. RNAcentral's name for it is "partial 16S ribosomal RNA". It matches the Rfam family "Bacterial small subunit ribosomal RNA", at positions 524 to 776 of the family's 1533-position model. The record is from RNAcentral.
GACGUAGGGCGCGAGCGUUGUCCGGAUUUAUUGGGCGUAAAGAGCUCGUAGGCGGCUCGUUGCGUCGGCUGUGAAAACCCGCAGCUCAACUGUGGGCUUGCAGCUGAUACGGGCGGGCUGGAGUUCGGUAGGGGAGACUGGAAUUCCUGGUGUAGCGGUGAAAUGCGCAGAUAUCAGGAGGAACACCGGUGGCGAAGGCGGGUCUCUGGGCCGGUACUGACGCUGAGGCGCGAAAGCGUGGGGAGCGAACAGG